Pteropus alecto (black flying fox) is the source of this 119-nucleotide non-coding RNA. The record is from Rfam. NCBI's taxonomy places the organism in Eukaryota, Metazoa, Chordata, Mammalia, Chiroptera, Pteropodidae.
GUCUACAGCCAGGCCACCCUGAACAAGCCCAAUCCCGUCUGCUCUCGGAAGCUAGGCAGGAUCGGGCCUGGUUAGUACUUGGAUGGGAGACCACCUAGGAAGACCAGGUGCUGUAGGCG